RNAcentral lists this ribosomal RNA (476 nucleotides) under uncultured bacterium. RNAcentral describes it as "bacterial SSU rRNA". It matches the Rfam family "Bacterial small subunit ribosomal RNA", at positions 954 to 1516 of the family's 1533-position model. The record is from RNAcentral.
GCUUAACGCGAAGAACCUUACCUACUCUUGACAUCCAGAGAACUUAGCAGAGAUGCUUUGGUGCCUUCGGGAACUCUGAGACAGGUGCUGCAUGGCUGUCGUCAGCUCGUGUUGUGAAAUGUUGGGUUAAGUCCCGCAACGAGCGCAACCCUUAUCCUUUGUUGCCAGCGGUUCGGCCGGGAACUCAAAGGAGACUGCCAGUGAUAAACUGGAGGAAGGUGGGGAUGACGUCAAGUCAUCAUGGCCCUUACGAGUAGGGCUACACACGUGCUACAAUGGCGUAUACAAAGAGAAGCGACCUCGCGAGAGCAAGCGGACCUCAUAAAGUACGUCGUAGUCCGGAUUGGAGUCUGCAACUCGACUCCAUGAAGUCGGAAUCGCUAGUAAUCGUAGAUCAGAAUGCUACGGUGAAUACGUUCCCGGGUCUUGUACACACCGGGGUCUUGUACACACCGGGGGUCUUGGUACACACCGGG